This 514-nucleotide ribosomal RNA is filed under the name Cirrhinus mrigala x Labeo sp. NR-2018. RNAcentral describes it as "partial large subunit ribosomal RNA". It matches the Rfam family "Bacterial large subunit ribosomal RNA", at positions 1944 to 2608 of the family's 2925-position model. Lineage: Eukaryota; Metazoa; Chordata; Actinopteri; Cypriniformes. The record is from RNAcentral.
CUUCGUGCAAAGGUAGCGCAAUCACUGUUCUUUUAAAUAGAGACCUGUAUGAAUGGCUAAACGAGGGCUUAACUGUCUCCCCUUUCCAGUCAGUGAAAUUGAUCUACCCGUGCAGAAGCGGGUAUAAUAAUACAAGACGAGAAGACCCUUUGGAGCUUAAGGUACAAAACUCAACCACGUCAAGCAACUCAGUAAAAAGCAAAAACUUUGUGAAACAUGAAAUUUUACCUUCGGUUGGGGCGACCACGGAGGAAAACAAGGCCUCCAAGUGGAGUGGAAAAACCUCCUAAAACCAAGAGAGACAUCUCUAAGCCACAGAACAUCUGACCAAACAUGAUCCGGCCACCCAAAGCCGAUCAACGAACCAAGUUACCCUAGGGAUAACAGCGCAAUCCUCUCCCAGAGUCCAAUCGACGAGAGGGUUUACGACCUCGAUGUUGGAUCAGGACAUCCUAAUGGUGCAUCCACUUUCUACGGGUUCUUUGUUCAAACAUGAAAGUCCUACGUGAUCUGA